Molecule: long non-coding RNA, 1482 nt
Filed under: Fragaria vesca (wild strawberry)
Lineage: Eukaryota; Viridiplantae; Streptophyta; Magnoliopsida; Rosales; Rosaceae
Description: long non-coding RNA (FVES_LNC005289)
Source: RNAcentral
UUUGCUCAGCCUCAGACGGAGGUGUCUGCACCCCGUAUGCCUGAGAUACACCGGGCGCCCACUCCAGCUCCUACUUCUUCGGAUAGUGGGUCAUCUGGGGUACAGAUGCCGCCGCCUCACCUAUUCCUUCCGCAGAUGAUACCGGCCAUACCUGUAGUCGAUGACUCAGGGACGCCGAUUUAUCCACUGCCCCCGCCAGUGGCUCCAUCAGCGGCGUACCGGUUCGUGCCUUUUGAUACGCCUCUUAUUUCUGCGAGGGUAUCAUCAUCGGCGACAGAGACGGAAUCGGUCGCGUCCGCCGCGAGCGCCUCAGGUAAUCAGUGAUGCAUGAUUAUUUUUAAAGGGUCUCCGAUUUAAAUAAUCAAUUUGGUUUAUCAUGUGAUAGGCACCGUCGGAGCGAAGCUGACAAAGAAGAAGAGAGGCCCCGUCACAGGGAAGGCUCUCGAGAAGAUCGUGGGUACCGUGGGGAGGAUCGUCAUCAAUACUGACGGGGAUGGCCACAUAGUAUCGGGCGGGAAGUCGAGGACGUACUCCGGCCGCGUGGGAGCGCUCAUUAGGGAUAGAGUCCCUAUGUUGUGGUCAGACUGGGGCGAGGUCCCGCAGGAGGUUAAGAACAUGGUCCACAACGCGAUGUCGGUGAGUUUACAAAAUAAUAUUAUGUAUUACAUUGUUGAUUUCUAGAAAAACUAAACUAAUAAACGGUUAAAUACAGGUGUGGUUUGAGGUUCCCGAGCACCUUAAGGACAGCUGGGCCGACGUUGUGCAUGGGGGAAGGUACGUUGGGAAGUUAAUGAAAAACAAAAUUGUAUGUGAUAUUAAUAAUAUUUCUAAUAUUUUUGUUGUGUCUGUAGGUACAAGGAGUGGAAGAACGAGUUGCGGACCCAUUGGACUACACACGGGAACGCACGUUCUGGUACCCCUGCUGAGUUCCAGUACAGGGAGUACGAGUGGCGUUGUCUUCUGACAUCAGAAUUCAACAACCCUCGUAAACAGGUAUUUAAAAAAUUAAUUAGUUAAUUUGUCAUUAAGUACGUCCGUUUUUAAAUAUUUUACUAAUAAUUUAUUUUUUCUUUGAAUGCCGUUUCCCGAGCGAACUCUCAGAACCGGCAACGCAACACAAGAAACCAUCAUGGCGGUUCUAGACCGUUCGCUGUCUUCAUGGACGAGGCGGCCAGGGAACAUCCAGAGGUCAACCCGUACGUCUAUACGUACGAGAAGGCAUAUCCUGACUCCCAGGAGGAUAUUGUAAGUCAUUUUACGUUUUUAAAUUUUAAAUUUUAAAUUUAUAUAUAUGUGAAAAUGUUAAUUAAUUAUUUUUUUCCUAUCCAAUUAGGCGAAGGUGAGGGAGGCUAGUGACGAGGUGAUGAGUGCUAUAGUGAGGGAGACAUGGCCGGACACGCAGGAGGAAGAGAUGUCCGAAGCCAUGUCCCGGAUCGACACUUCGGAUCCGACGAUUGGGGCGAGGAUCAUGGGCACAGCCUU